GUCAGCUUGGGUAUGGAGACCUAAACCUACUCAUGGCCCUUUGGUUCUGAAGUGAGACUUGGUUGCACCAGAAAAAUGAGUAGAGACUAGCAGACAGAAUGAAGGAUCUCACAGCACAGGAACAGAGAGGCUCCUGCGGAGUUUCGCUCAAGGUACCAACCAGCAGGGCGGAAGGCUGUGAGCCCCAGCACCUUCCCCAGUGCUCAAAUCACAGCUGGACACAUCCUUCCCCAACUUCUGUUCUCCUUUUGCAAAUGCUGUUGAUAGAACCUAGGGCCUCCCGCUGGCUAGCCAGCCAGCAGCCCUCACCACGAAGGUGGAGCUGUUUCAGCAGGAAGAUCUACUCCGGACCCAGGCAGACUCCACAGCAGACCAUCUGGAAGGUUUUCCAGUUUCUUAAUGCAAAUUAAGAGUCCUCAUCAUUUUCCAAAAGGAAUCUUCGGCAGAUAAACUGGGCAGUGUUCUCUACGAAAGAAAACACAAAAAGGACAGUUGGAAGGAAUUCAAAAGAAAAGAACCCGUGGUGCAAUCAAAUCCCAGCCAGCAUCACUGGGGCUUCUCUUGCUGAUAAAAUGGCCAAGAGUUAUCAGAAACCGGAAGUUUCAGAAAGCUCAGCGGCAGCAGGUUGUCAGGGCUGCCAAGGAAGAAAAAACAAAAUACUAAGCAGGCAUCAAAGAAGACAGCCAUGGCUGUUGCUAAGGCCCCCAUGAGAGCAGCACCUAAACAAGAUAGUAAAGCCUGUGAAGGUCUCUCCGGGUCGGUAGAAAACAUUCAUUUGGUAGAUGAGAAUUUAAAAUAAAGAUCCAUCUGUAACUCUUCCUCAAUAUGAGAGCAAUUGAGGAAGACACUCCAUGUUGACCUCUGCCCUCCAUAUGUACACACACAUGCAUACACACCCAUGCACACACCCUAAGAAACACACACACACACACACACACACACACACACACACACACCAUACAUACAUGCAUGCAUACUAUUUUUUAAAUUUAGAGACAAAUUAAAAAAAAGUUUCCAUUGGGGAUGAUGACAAUAUUGUACAGAUGGAGAAUGGUGUUAAAGUCCUUAAUACCCCUGAAUUGUACAGUUAGAUUGUUACAAUGGUAAGCUUUGAUGUUAUACUGUUUAUCAUAUAAAAUAAUGCUGAAAGACUAACUUGGUUCACAUUCAGAGCAUUCUCACCCAGGUGUCUAGACCACCAGUCCUCAUGUAGUUCUUUCAAAUCCUCACAAAACCAGUAACAAAAUAAUGAACUUAUUAAAUAUUUGUUAUUUCCUAUGCA
This is a non-coding RNA of Peromyscus maniculatus bairdii (prairie deer mouse), 1282 nucleotides long. The record is from RefSeq and is a predicted model, not a curated record. Lineage: Eukaryota; Metazoa; Chordata; Mammalia; Rodentia; Cricetidae.